RNAcentral lists this ribosomal RNA (430 nucleotides) under Lactiplantibacillus plantarum. RNAcentral's name for it is "bacterial SSU rRNA". It matches the Rfam family "Bacterial small subunit ribosomal RNA", at positions 915 to 1354 of the family's 1533-position model. Lineage: Bacteria; Bacillati; Bacillota; Bacilli; Lactobacillales; Lactobacillaceae. The record is from RNAcentral.
GGGGGGCCCCCCGGGCGGGGCGGGGGCACGGGGGGAACGCGAAGAACCUUACCAGGUCUUGACAUACUAUGCAAAUCUAAGAGAUUAGACGUUCCCUUCGGGGACAUGGAUACAGGUGGUGCAUGGUUGUCGUCAGCUCGUGUCGUGAGAUGUUGGGUUAAGUCCCGCAACGAGCGCAACCCUUAUUAUCAGUUGCCAGCAUUAAGUUGGGCACUCUGGUGAGACUGCCGGUGACAAACCGGAGGAAGGUGGGGAUGACGUCAAAUCAUCAUGCCCCUUAUGACCUGGGCUACACACGUGCUACAAUGGAUGGUACAACGAGUUGCGAACUCGCGAGAGUAAGCUAAUCUCUUAAAGCCAUUCUCAGUUCGGAUUGUAGGCUGCAACUCGCCUACAUGAAGUCGGAAUCGCUAGUAAUCGCGGAUCAGCA